UCGCUGCUUUCCCCCUCUGGGUGAACAAGCAGAAAAAGCCAGUGGGGUUAUUUUCUUUGAUUCCUUUCCGAUUUUCUCCCUCGACCGCCGCGUCGACAACGUACCUGUUUGCCGCGCAGCCGGCAAAACUCACCCGUGCCACGGCGCGUUGCACGAUACGGGUGAGUCUGUCACGACAGUCAAACUUCAGAAAAAAUAAAAAGAAAACGGCCGGGCGCACGCACACGUGCGCGCCCGUCUGCAGCGUCCUUAUCAGAGCCGUGUUUUCCUUUGCCUUUGCGUUAACAAGCGCUGAAGAAGCCGGAAUUGCGAUACCAGCAAUCGUCACCGACAGAUCUGGCCACGCGCAGUCGCAAACGUUGAGCGAACUGCUAUCUGCUCUUUAAGCGCGAGCGAUUCAAAGGGCUGUGCUCAUGCUCGCAAGCGUUCGCUCGCCGGUGCUCAUGGUUCUACCGCUCGUGGCCCACGUUCAACCCUUGACAAGCGCCUGCCGAUACGGUUGUGUAGUUCCUUACGAGCGAACUUCUGUGGGCAGCCAGUGGUAUCCAAGAGGGAAGGGACCUGGAUUUCUGUGGUUACUGCAGCUACGUCUUAUUUUAUGUGGUCACCUUUUCUACUGUAUUUUAUAAUUUUGUGAAAUCAUUCUCCGUGUCCUUUUAUUUAUUACUCAAUAAAGCCGCUUUCUCACAA
This is a long non-coding RNA of Dermacentor silvarum, 690 nucleotides long. RefSeq lists it as uncharacterized. The transcript is spliced from 2 exons. The record is from RefSeq and is a predicted model, not a curated record. NCBI's taxonomy places the organism in Eukaryota, Metazoa, Arthropoda, Arachnida, Ixodida, Ixodidae.